Molecule: non-coding RNA, 431 nt
Organism: Gasterosteus aculeatus aculeatus (three-spined stickleback)
Lineage: Eukaryota; Metazoa; Chordata; Actinopteri; Perciformes; Gasterosteidae
Source: RefSeq, a predicted model, not a curated record
AUUUUGUUCAGCUGUCAGCUUUAAAAGAAAUCGCGACAGGGAGAGACGUCGUUCCAUUGCGCAACGUCACGAUGCAGCAGGGGGAAUCACAGAUGUCGCUGUGUUUCUGGAGGGAGGCAGCCGUAUGGCAGCUGCAGGUGGGGGCCCACAUUAAAGUUUCCCAUCUUAAAGCUGGGAGGUCUAACUAUGGGCUCAGACUCCAGUCCACAAACGUUUCCACCAUUGAGGAGGUACGCUCAGAGGACAUCGUGGGGGCACUCGGGGUGAUGGAGAUUGAGGGAGAUCCGGGGAACCUCAACCUUCUCCUAGAAGAUGGCCGUACCGUCUUAAUUGAGGAGAGAUUGUGGGAGCCAAUCGAACUUGUCAUGAUUGAACCCGUGAUAAAAGUUCAAAUUAAAAUGACAAGAAACAAGGUGCAGGCAAUUGAAGUG